RNAcentral lists this ribosomal RNA (342 nucleotides) under uncultured bacterium. RNAcentral's name for it is "bacterial SSU rRNA". It matches the Rfam family "Bacterial small subunit ribosomal RNA", at positions 456 to 793 of the family's 1533-position model. The record is from RNAcentral.
UAGCAUAUUACAUUUGACGUUAGCUGCAGAAGAAGCACCGGCUAACUCCGUGCCAGCAGCCGCGGUAAUACGGAGGGUGCGAGCGUUAAUCGGAAUUACUGGGCGUAAAGCGCAUGCUAGGUGGUUUGUUAAGUCAGAUGUGAAAGCCCGGGGCUACAACCUACGGAAUUGCAUUUGUAAACUGGACAAACUAGAGUACUGUAGAGGGGGUAGAAUUUCAGGUGUAGCGGUGAAAUGCGUAGAGAUCUGAAGGAAUACCGGUGGCGAAGGCGGCCCCCUGGACAGAUACUGACACUCAGAUGCGAAAGCGUGGGGAGCAAACAGGAUUAGAUACCCUGGUAG